GGAGGUCUUAGCUUAAUUAAAGUGUCUGAGUUGCAAUCAGAAGAUGUGUUGUGUUAUACAGGCCUU
Molecule: transfer RNA, 66 nt
Filed under: Cyrtodactylus robustus
Lineage: Eukaryota; Metazoa; Chordata; Lepidosauria; Squamata; Gekkonidae
Description: tRNA-Ala
Source: RNAcentral